GCCAGGCAGAGUGAGCACUAACACGUACGCAGAAACACAUGCCAAGAUGUAGAACUGUGGAGGACCUGGGUUGUAAAUAUGUGAAAAUGGUUGAAAAUAGAUUUAGACAAACACACACACACAGACACACACAGUCACACACACACAGACACACACACACACACACUGGUUUGGUUUAGCGAACAUUCAGGAAUGGAUUAGACCCGAUGCUUCCCUGCUUCUACAACAUAACUGACUAAUCAGGUAUCACAUCUACACACACUCGCAUUGUUAUGGCUUUAGUCUCAUUUGUGUAAGCUUGAGCAGAGCAACAGGUUGCCAUGUAUUUAGAACUUUCAUCCUCUUGCUCCUCUUUUUCCUCUUCCUUUUGUCCCGGCCUGGGAUGCACAGAGGUCUCAGUGUCACAUGUGCACUGUGGUUAACAGGAGGCCCCGCUGAGGCACAACACUGCACAAGCAUCAAUGGAAACACUGACAUAUCUAACCCGUGACUGCUGAAAGCUCAGAGACCGCUCUCGUCGUUUGUCUGACAGCUAAGCCGAUGUGAAAUACAGAACAAAAACACACCUCUGCUUUUCACAUUAAAGCUGUUGAGCGUUAACACUGAGGGCCAAUUCAUACUGUGUAUGUUGCAGCGCUGGAACCACAAGGUGGGGACGAUGAAGCCACAAAGCCCCCCACCCUGAGUCUCACUCUCCGGGGUUCUUAACAUCAAUCCCUAUUUGACCCUCUAUCCAUCCCCUUGUGCUCAACUCCAUUUAACCCCACUUCCAUUACACUAUCUGUCGUUCCAAUUAACUAAGUUGCUCACCAAAAUGAUGUGGUCUUUGUCAGUUAACUGACCAUUUUCCAAAAGCAUACCCUUAAGUUUGUAGAUUGAUUUCAUAACUUCAAGGCAGCUAUUGUUUUUAGUUGAUUUCAGUAUGCAGUGAAAAUCAAAAUGCAGACUCAAAUCUUGCUAGAUACAGAAAUAAUCUAUCAGUUACUAUUACGUAGGUUUCUUGUUUUUUUGUUAAAUGUUGAGCAGGGGCUGUUUUGAAACUAUUCUUUGCUGAAAUUUGAGAGUUAAAAAAACAUGCAUGAGUUACAGUCUUUUGUCCAUGAGAUCAAACACAGAAGACAAACAUGACACCCUGAAGCAUUAUGUGAAUUUGUUCUUGAAGAUGUAAGAGCUUCUCACAAACCCUUGAACACACCACCAGGGAGAGUUUUACAGGUUCAGACACCAUAGCUGAGCCACAGCUCUGGCUUCUCCAAAUGAGCAGUAAUUCCAGCCUCCAGGUUUCCCAUCCUCUGGAAAAGCCGUCCGCUGCCUGUCCCGCUGACUUCCGACGGGGGUGGAGAGAGAGACUUUUAAAGUAAUACCUCACCGCCCUCUUAACAAGCCAUCCAUCCGUCCUGCAUCCCAGUGUUCCCACCUCCAUACCGCUCCAUCCCUCAAUGGACACAGAGAGCUAGGCCUCAUCAGGAGAGGAAGAGGAGGAGGGAGGGGGGGGAGGGUGUUUGGACUUAUUCCCUCUCCGACGGUGGGAAGGAGAGCGGUAAAUCUGGAUAGAAAGGUGACUUGGCCUCAGAAAGAGCAGUAACAGCAUCAUAAGUGUGUUUCUGUGUGAAGUAAAUGCUUCUAAGGUGAUAAUAUGGGAAUUUAUGAGGUUAUUUAUCCCUUCAAUAAAAGCCCCAACAAUCCACAUUA
This is a long non-coding RNA of Perca fluviatilis (European perch), 1692 nucleotides long. RefSeq lists it as uncharacterized. The record is from RefSeq and is a predicted model, not a curated record. The transcript is spliced from 3 exons. Lineage: Eukaryota; Metazoa; Chordata; Actinopteri; Perciformes; Percidae.